AGACACUCCUGUGAUGUGGCUGUGACAUUCAUUGCUCAGUGCCUGCUGAUUUGGUCUGUCUGGUGGCUAUCCUUUUCCUCCUCUACCUUCCUCGCCCCCACCCCAUCCAGCACUAAGUGGAACAGGAUGAGCUUCCUGUCUAGAGGAGAAUUGUUUUGUUAAAGGUAUGUGAGUAGCUUCUAGUUCUCCAAUGAAAGUCUUUAAAAAAAUUUUAAGAAGUAUUUCAAAUGUAUAUGUAAUGAAUCCUCAUAUACCAUAAACAAAUUCAUUACUAGUUUGCUAUAUUUAU
This 289-nucleotide small nuclear RNA is filed under the name Myotis davidii. RNAcentral's name for it is "7SK RNA". It matches the Rfam family "7SK RNA". From Rfam's summary of the family: 7SK was discovered as an abundant small nuclear RNA in the mid-70s but a possible function has only recently been suggested. Two independent studies have found that 7SK RNA binds the CDK9/cyclin T complex (known as elongation factor P-TEFb). Lineage: Eukaryota; Metazoa; Chordata; Mammalia; Chiroptera; Vespertilionidae. The record is from Rfam by way of RNAcentral.